RNAcentral lists this ribosomal RNA (255 nucleotides) under uncultured bacterium. Its description in RNAcentral is "partial 16S ribosomal RNA". It matches the Rfam family "Bacterial small subunit ribosomal RNA", at positions 524 to 776 of the family's 1533-position model. The record is from RNAcentral.
UACGGAGGGUGCGAGCGUUGUCCGGAAUCAUUGGGCGUAAAGGGCGCGUAGGUGGCCCAGCUAAGCGUGCGGUGAAAGCUCGGGGCUCAACCCCGAGUCGGCCGUGCGAACUACUGGGCUGGAGCACUGUAGAGGCAGGCGGAAAUUCCGGGUGUAGAGGUGAAAUUCGUAGAUAUCGGGAGGAACACCAGUGGCGAAGGCGGCGAUCUGGGAAGAUACUGACGCUGAGGUGCGAAAGCGUGGGGAGCAAACAGG